UACGUAGGGUGCGAGCGUUGUCCGGAAUUAUUGGGCGUAAAGGGCUCGUAGGCGGUCUGUCACGUCGGGAGUGAAAACACGGGGCUUAACCCCGUGCCUGCUUCCGAUACGGGCAGACUAGAGGUAUGCAGGGGAGAACGGAAUUCCUGGUGUAGCGGUGAAAUGCGCAGAUAUCAGGAGGAACACCGGUGGCGAAGGCGGUUCUCUGGGCAUUACCUGACGCUGAGGAGCGAAAGUGUGGGGAGCUAACAGG
Molecule: ribosomal RNA, 253 nt
Filed under: uncultured bacterium
Lineage: Bacteria
Description: partial 16S ribosomal RNA
Rfam family: Bacterial small subunit ribosomal RNA
Source: RNAcentral